UUAUGGGGCUCAGUGGUAGAGCGCUCGCCUAGCAUGUUCGAGGCCCUGGGUUCAAUCCGGAGUACCACAUAAA
This 73-nucleotide transfer RNA is filed under the name Marmota monax (woodchuck). RNAcentral describes it as "tRNA.Ala". The record is from RNAcentral. Lineage: Eukaryota; Metazoa; Chordata; Mammalia; Rodentia; Sciuridae.